RNAcentral lists this long non-coding RNA (1765 nucleotides) under Equus caballus (horse). Its description in RNAcentral is "eukaryotic translation initiation factor 1 (ENSECAG00000012516.4)". The record is from RNAcentral. Lineage: Eukaryota; Metazoa; Chordata; Mammalia; Perissodactyla; Equidae.
GUAAGCCGCGGGACGGACGGUCCGUGGGGGGAAGGCCCGGUUGGGCGGCGGAGCACUCUCGGCCUGGAGACGGGGCCCGGAAAGCUGCCGAGCGGCCCGGCCCUUCAUGAACUUGAGCAGAGAGAAGCUGUCCGGGUGCGCGGGCAGCGGGGCCGAGGCCUGGGCCCAGGAGUCGGCCCCAGAACGCGACCGGAAGGAGCGGGCGGGAGGUCAGCCUUUGGGCGGGCCCGGUGGCUCGGGUGGCGCAUUUACUAAUGGCUCCCGGGCCGCCUCGGGCCACACCUGCCCCUCCUGCCACCCUUGCGUCACGUCCGUUACGUCACCGCUGUUGUCACGGCGCCGGGAGAGAGAGGCGGCGCCAGCCCUAAGUGACAAACGCGCACGCCAAUGGGGCGGGAAGCUCGGCCCCGCCUCGGGGCUCGGGUUCCGGCCGGUUGCAUCAGCCGGGAGGGGCGCUGUCUGCCACCCCCGGCUUCCCUGACACGUGAUCGGUGUCCGAGGGCGGGCCCGGGGCAGGAGGCCCAGGCCUUCUCCGGGGCUGGGGAAGCCGGCCGUCCCGGAUUGACCUGUUCCGGGAGAGUCGAGAAAGGACAUACCUGAUCUAACUGGCGAUUUCAACCCCUUUGCUGAUGCAAGUAAGGGUGAUGAUCUACUUCCUGCUGGCACUGAGGAUUAUAUCCAUAUAAGAAUUCAACAGAGAAACGGCAGGAAGACUCUUACUACCGUCCAAGGGAUCGCUGAUGAUUACGAUAAAAAGAAACUAGUGAAGGCGUUUAAGAAGAAAUUUGCCUGCAAUGGUACUGUAAUUGAGCAUCCAGAAUAUGGAGAAGUAAUUCAACUACAGGGUGACCAGCGCAAGAACAUAUGCCAGUUCCUGGUAGAGAUUGGACUGGCUAAGGAGGACCAGCUGAAGGUUCAUGGGUUUUAAGUGCUUUUGGCUCAUUGAAGCUUAAGUGAGGAUUUCCUUGCAAUGAGUAGAAUUUCCCUUCUGUCCCUUGUCACAAGUUUAAAAACCUCACAGCUUGUAUAAUGUAACCAUUUGGGGUCUGCUUUUAACUUGGACUAGUGUAACUCCUUCAUGCAAUAAACUGAAAAGAGCCAUGCUGUCUAGUCUUGAAGUCCCUCAUUUAAACAGAGGUCAAGCAGUGGGCGCCUGGCAGUGUCCAGCCUGAAACAAAGCAAUAAUGUGAUGUUUCGGCCAAGCCCAGAGCCCCGAGAUCACAGAUGGCUAUGUCUGGCCAGAAGCUCCUCGGCUCUCCCUCUACAGAGUUCCCUGCCCUGAGAGAAUGUCACCACCUGAGCAGCCCUUGGUGAAGCUGAGAGGAGAGGAUGGGGUAAGGCAGCAACGGCAGCUGCACCACUAGGCGGGAGCCUUUGGUGGUCGAAGAGUGAUGCCCUGGUGUCUCCAGCCUGCCCGGGUGCACAGAGCUUAGAGUGGCCCCCUUCCCUCUAAUGAGGUGAUAGGACAUCUGGCUUGCCAGCGAGGUCUUUUUGACCAGACAUAUCCUAGCUAAUUGAUGUCCAAACACCAGAAUGUGAGGCCACCCUUCUAGCAGAGUUAAACUUUUGACAAGGGAACAAAUCUCAAACUGAUAUGUGUCAGUCACGUAGCCAGCUGUAGAACUUGCGGCUUGACUAGCAGCAGCUGCCCAAUGCCAUGUGAAGUAACAAACUGGUCUUUGGUUUUUUCCUUCCCUUCAGUUUUAAUGUUAUGUAAUGUAUUUAAACCCUUAUUUAAAUAAAACUUGGUUUUCAGAAACACCUG